This 697-nucleotide ribosomal RNA is filed under the name uncultured Listeria sp. RNAcentral describes it as "bacterial SSU rRNA". It matches the Rfam family "Bacterial small subunit ribosomal RNA", at positions 421 to 1107 of the family's 1533-position model. Lineage: Bacteria; Bacillati; Bacillota; Bacilli; Caryophanales; Listeriaceae. The record is from RNAcentral.
GAUCGUAAAACUCUGUUGUCAGGGAAGAACAAGUACGGUAGUAACUGCCCGUACCUUGACGGUACCUGGCCAGAAAGCCACGGCUAACUACGUGCCAGCAGCCGCGGUAAUACGUAGGUGGCAAGCGUUGUCCGGAAUUAUUGGGCGUAAAGCGCGCGCAGGCGGCCUUUUAAGUCUGAUGUGAAAGCCCCCGGCUCAACCGGGGAGGGUCAUUGGAAACUGGAAGGCUUGAGUGCAGAAGAGAAGAGCGGAAUUCCACGUGUAGCGGUGAAAUGCGUAGAGAUGUGGAGGAACACCAGUGGCGAAGGCGGCUCUUUGGUCUGUAACUGACGCUGAGGCGCGAAAGCGUGGGGAGCGAACAGGAUUAGAUACCCUGGUAGUCCACGCCGUAAACGAUGAGUGCUAAGUGUUGGGGGGUUUCCGCCCCUCAGUGCUGCAGCUAACGCAUUAAGCACUCCGCCUGGGGAGUACGGCCGCAAGGCUGAAACUCAAAGGAAUUGACGGGGGCCCGCACAAGCGGUGGAGCAUGUGGUUUAAUUCGAAGCAACGCGAAGAACCUUACCAGGUCUUGACAUCCCGCUGACCGGUCUGGAGACAGAUCUUCCCCUUCGGGGGCAGCGGUGACAGGUGGUGCAUGGUUGUCGUCAGCUCGUGUCGUGAGAUGUUGGGUUAAGUCCCGCAACGAGCGCAACCCUUG